This 408-nucleotide ribosomal RNA is filed under the name uncultured microorganism. RNAcentral describes it as "bacterial SSU rRNA". It matches the Rfam family "Bacterial small subunit ribosomal RNA", at positions 9 to 414 of the family's 1533-position model. The record is from RNAcentral.
GAGUUUGAUCAUGGCUCAGAUUGAACGCUGGCGGCAUGCCUUACACAUGCAAGUCGAACGGCAGCAUGAUCUAGCUUGCUAGAUUGAUGGCGAGUGGCGAACGGGUGAGUAAUACAUCGGAACGUGCCCUGUAGUGGGGGAUAACUAGUCGAAAGAUUAGCUAAUAUCGCAUACGACCUGAGGGUGAAAGUGGGGACCGCAAGGCCUCAUGCUAUAGGAGCGGCCGAUGUCUGAUUAGCUAGUUGGUGGGGUAAAGGCCCACCAAGGCGACGAUCAGUAGCUGGUCUGAGAGGACGAUCAGCCACACUGGGACUGAGACACGGCCCAGACUCCUACGGGAGGCAGCAGUGGGGAAUUUUGGACAAUGGGCGAAAGCCUGAUCCAGCAAUGCCGCGUGUGUGAAGAAGG